This 62-nucleotide small nucleolar RNA is filed under the name Rhinopithecus bieti (black snub-nosed monkey). RNAcentral's name for it is "Small nucleolar RNA SNORD43 (ENSRBIG00000014414.1)". It matches the Rfam family "Small nucleolar RNA SNORD43". From Rfam's summary of the family: U43 is a C/D box small nucleolar RNA that is encoded in intron 1 of the ribosomal protein L3 gene in human and cow. Three other snoRNAs ( U82, U83a and U83b) are also encoded in the same host gene but from different introns. The rice homologue is expressed from a cluster also containing snoR16. Lineage: Eukaryota; Metazoa; Chordata; Mammalia; Primates; Cercopithecidae. The record is from Rfam by way of RNAcentral.
AAUGGAUGAUGAAAUUAUUGAUGGGUGGAUAAAACUGUGUGCUGAUUGUCAUGUUCUGAUUU